AUUGAACGCUGGCGGAAUGCUUUACACAUGCAAGUCGAGCGGCAGCGCGGGGCAACCUGGCGGCGAGCGGCGAACGGGUGAGUAAUACAUCGGAACGUACCCAGUUGUGGGGGAUAGCCUGGCGAAAGCCGGAUUAAUACCGCAUACGACCUGAGGGUGAAAGCGGGGGAUCUUCGGACCUCGUGCUAUAGGAGGAGCCUGCGUCGGAUUAGCUAGUUGGUGAGGUAAAGGCUCACCAAGGCGACGAUCCGUAGCUGGUCUGAGAGGAUGAUCAGCCACACCGGAACUGAGACACGGUCCGGACUCCUACGGGAGGCAGCAGUGGGGAAUAUUGCGCAAUGGGCGAAAGCCUGACGCAGCCAUACCGCGUGUGUGAAGAAGGCCUCGGUUGUAAGGUACGACUUACUACGUGGGUAGGGAAAGGAACGUAGGUA
Molecule: ribosomal RNA, 434 nt
Filed under: uncultured bacterium
Lineage: Bacteria
Description: bacterial SSU rRNA
Rfam family: Bacterial small subunit ribosomal RNA
Source: RNAcentral